Pan troglodytes (chimpanzee) is the source of this 5691-nucleotide RNA transcript. It is a transcript of the gene named one cut homeobox 1, with no coding region annotated. The transcript is spliced from 3 exons. NCBI's taxonomy places the organism in Eukaryota, Metazoa, Chordata, Mammalia, Primates, Hominidae. The record is from RefSeq and is a predicted model, not a curated record.
CAGUAACAGAGCCAUGGCUCAAGCUGGCCAGCGGGGCGGGCAGGCAGCAGCCGCGGCAGGCGCGCGGGCCGCGGCAGGGGAGCCGGAGACCUCAGAAUUUUAAGAAAGAGAGGGGCGAGAGGUGGCCGAGGCGGGCGGGCUGGGGCACUGCGCUCUCCCAACGGCGCGGAUCCUUUUUGGAAAUUAAUAUUAAAAAAAAAAAAAAGCCGAGGACGCAGAGGGGAAGGUGGGGUGUAAGAGGGAAGGCGAGACACACACACACACACACACGCACACGCACACACGGACACACACACACGGAGAGAGAGAGAGAGAGACAGAGCCCCACAGUGAGAGGAAGGAAGGCAACAGUCGCCAGCAGCCGAUGUGAAGACCGGACUCCGUGCGCCCCUCGCCGCCUCUGCCUGGCCACAUCGAUGUUGUGUCCGCCGCCUGCUCGCCCGGAUCACGAUGAACGCGCAGCUGACCAUGGAAGCGAUCGGCGAGCUGCACGGGGUGAGCCAUGAGCCGGUGCCCGCCCCUGCCGACCUCCUGGGCGGCAGCCCCCACGCGCGCAGCUCCGUGGCGCACCGCGGCAGCCACCUGCCCCCCGCGCACCCGCGCUCCAUGGGCAUGGCGUCCCUGCUGGACGGCGGCAGCGGCGGCGGCGAUUACCACCACCACCACCGGGCCCCUGAGCACAGCCUGGCCGGCCCCCUGCAUCCCACCAUGACCAUGGCCUGCGAGACUCCCCCAGGUAUGAGCAUGCCCACCACCUACACCACCUUGACCCCUCUGCAGCCGCUGCCUCCCAUCUCCACAGUCUCGGACAAGUUCCCCCACCAUCACCACCACCACCAUCACCACCACCACCCGCACCACCACCAGCGCCUGGCGGGCAACGUGAGCGGUAGCUUCACGCUCAUGCGGGAUGAGCGCGGGCUGGCCUCCAUGAAUAACCUCUAUACCCCCUACCACAAGGACGUGGCCGGCAUGGGCCAGAGCCUCUCGCCCCUCUCCAGCUCCGGUCUGGGCAGCAUCCACAACUCCCAGCAAGGGCUCCCCCACUAUGCCCACCCGGGGACCACCAUGCCCACCGACAAGAUGCUCACCCCCAACGGCUUCGAAGCCCACCACCCGGCCAUGCUCGGCCGCCACGGGGAGCAGCACCUCACGCCCACCUCGGCCGGCAUGGUGCCCAUCAACGGCCUUCCUCCGCACCAUCCCCACGCCCACCUGAACGCCCAGGGCCACGGGCAGCUCCUGGGCACAGCCCGGGAGCCCAACCCUUCGGUGACCGGCGCGCAGGUCAGCAAUGGAAGUAAUUCAGGGCAGAUGGAAGAGAUCAAUACCAAAGAGGUGGCUCAGCGUAUCACCACCGAGCUCAAGCGCUACAGCAUCCCACAGGCCAUCUUCGCGCAGAGGGUGCUCUGCCGCUCCCAGGGGACCCUCUCGGACCUGCUGCGCAACCCCAAACCCUGGAGCAAACUCAAAUCCGGCCGGGAGACCUUCCGGAGGAUGUGGAAGUGGCUGCAGGAGCCGGAGUUCCAGCGCAUGUCCGCGCUCCGCUUAGCAGCAUGCAAAAGGAAAGAACAAGAACAUGGGAAGGAUAGAGGCAACACACCCAAAAAGCCCAGGUUGGUCUUCACAGAUGUCCAGCGUCGAACUCUACAUGCAAUAUUCAAGGAAAAUAAGCGUCCAUCCAAAGAAUUGCAAAUCACCAUUUCCCAGCAGCUGGGGUUGGAGCUGAGCACUGUCAGCAACUUCUUCAUGAACGCAAGAAGGAGGAGUCUGGACAAGUGGCAGGACGAGGGCAGCUCCAAUUCAGGCAACUCAUCUUCUUCAUCAAGCACUUGUACCAAAGCAUGAAGGAAGAACCACAAACUAAAACCUCGGUGGAAAAGCUUUAAAUUAAGAAAAAUUUUUAAAAGACCAGGACCUCAAGAUAGCAGGUUUAUACUUAGAAAUAUUUGAAGAAAAAAAAGUGUUAUUUAUAGUCCAAAGAAACCAAAGACUUAGCUCACCUGCAUUCUGACUUUGCUUGGAGACACACACUUCAGCAGGGCGGCGACUUGGCAAGACAAACGAUGAGCAGGAAAACACCACUGGAUCUCACACCUUCAAUCCAUGACCAUCCUCGCUGUGCUUGGCUGUUUAGUGGUUUGGAGCAUAGUGAUUUUGAGCCAUUGAGCGGACAUCUUUUAAGAUCGAACUUUCUCAUCUGUUCUACCAUGCCACGAAGGUGUAUGGUGUCUCAGUACUACCACCACCAGUGGUUAGAGACUUAGGCAGAGCUUGUCUUCAGAAAUGGUUGUUCUAUAGGAGUGCAACCAACAUGAAUGGAAGUUAGUCUGUUUCUGGCCAUAAGACAUUCAGGUCCUCUCAUCACUGGAAGCUUUCCUGUAGAGGGCAGGGAGUUGUGACGUCUGGACACCCCAAAACCCCAGACUUCAGUAAAUGUUCAGGUAAAAGAGCUCUGGAUGUCAGGAAUUGAGUAUUCCAGUCCCUGGAUGCAGCUGGAAUAGACUCCAAAGACCAAAGAAAAUGUGUGGGAAAUCCAGAAGUCCUAAAUGAACAUGUCACUCACUGUGCCCCCGCAAAAAAGCGAAAUUAUUUUUCCAGGAAAAUAUAAAAGCACUACGCUACUUUUGGAUUCAUUCCACUCCCAUUGCUACCCCAGGUGAAUGACCGUGGUUGCAGGUUAAAUGCAAACUUUGCUAUACCAAAGAGUCCUAGGACAUUUUCACAUGAGCUAUAAAGGCAUAUUCCCUAAGAAAGGUCCUCCCUUCUUUGUACAUAAAGGAUGAAAACUAUGCAUUUAGCAAACAAAGAGAAAGCACUUCUUUUUCUAUCUAGUUGUUUAGGGUGCAUUCAAACACCAGAGGCUGUUUUGAGACAUGUUUGGCCUUCUGGGUUAUUACUGUGGUGUGGUUAGCUUUACAGUACAUUUGGUAACUAUUUCCUAAAUAGUAAGGACAAAGAAGCAGAAGGUAAGAAAUAGCGACUUCCACGUGUAAAAAAAAAAAAAAGAAAAAGAAAAAAAGAAAAAAAAAGUGUAAAGAUCUACUAUUUAUAGUGUGAACCAAAGACGCUACCUCACUCAAUUUCCAUUGGUGAUUUUAAUCACAUUGAUGAUACCAAAGAAUACCAAAGAUAUUUUCAUGCACGGUCUCAGUCUGCAGAGGGAACUCCGCCCCUUCCCUUCCCCCACCCCUCCCCCUUCCUAACUCUUCACUCAGUGUGUAAACUUGUCUUCAUUCUUAAUAAUGAUACAAUAAUGACAACAACAACAUUAGGAAAUACUACUCUUAUUACUGCUAGUUCUACUUGUAAAUCUCUAGGCAAACAUGUUGCAAACUUUGUAAACUCCUAGGACGAGUGCCUUGCUUGAACCAAAGUGUUAAACCGCUGUUGACCUCUUUCACCUUAUACUCUUUGAAUACCUCAGCCUCUUAGAAAGGCCACUAAUGAAAAAAAAAGGAAUAAUUAUUCACCGUGGUGCUUUUUCCGUGCAACCAUGCAAUGAAACUUUCUUUGAUACCAAAGGAUGACUUUUUUUUUCCCCAAUUUCUUGCUGAUAAACCAAAGCUCCUCCUCCUUGUUCCCUCUCAAGUUCCCCCCACCUGACUUCACCUGUCCCUCCACCAGGCAGGCCGUGCAUAACUUUUACCAAUUCCUCCAAAUACCUCAUAGUAAUAAAGUUUUAGGGUUAUGUUGUAUAGAGAGUCUAUGUGAUAAGGCAGAACUUACUAGUUUGAUAAUUGUUAAGGUUACUUUAAAAAAACUUUAUAAUUCUUAUUUAUUUUGUAGUUUGUAUGUUUGGGAUGUCCCCCCCCCCCUUUGAUUUGGGGUUUAUUUUCUUGGCAGAACUGCUCUAUUGCUCAAGGAAGACUUAGUUUCUGGAAAUAUUCCCCGGGUGAGUUAAGGGUUGUGUAAAAAUGCAAGAAUGGAAUACGAAAUGAUUUUCAUUUUGAUGGUUACUUAUGAAGUUUUUGUGUUCCGUAGAAAAUUUGUUUCCACAGGGUAAAAAUAUAUAUAUAUAUAUAAAAUCUCUUUUUUGUGAAGCUGGUUCCUAUUUUUCUCUAUAAUGUGCUGUGAUUUUUUUUAAUUUAAUUACAUUUUAUAUGAGCUUAUUUAAUCACUGCUUUAAUUUAUGACUGUGUAGUUUUUAAAAUGUAUAUAGUAGAAUCGAAAUGGCCAAAGCUUUAUGUUACAAUCUUUUUGUUCUCGAUGCUAAGAUAAGCUGAAGGCAAGAGCUUCUCUUAACUGCAGGGUGUAUCUUUAGCUUUUUCUUAGUAGGUACUUCAAUGUGUGCUGUAAACACUGCCAGGUCCCCCUCAGAAACUUGUACAUGCCAAAGUGAGUGUUUCAAGAUAGUCCUUUUUGUCAUUUAGAAAGAAGAAAGGCAUUGUUCGUGUUCUUCCUUUAAUUUAUUAAUUUUUUUUAGAAAAGAUUACUUUGCAGGUAAGACCUGAAAUUCCAAAGAAUUUGAGACUUUUUUAAUAUUUCAAAGCACCGGCAUUUGUGAGAUACUUUGCUACUUCUUUUUUUUUUUUUUUUUUAACCAUUCGCACGGGUAUGAAAAGUAGAGUGUAAAAACUCAAAGAGACAAGCUAACUUGAAUUUGGAAAUCCUCUAGGUUUUCCCAAGUUUCUGAAUUGCUUCAAGGCAGGGGGCAGGGCAUGGAGACACAGUUCCUUUUGCAAAGCUGAGAGGAGAGUGUAAUGGCCUCAUGCCCUUAAGCAGAAAGUCAAGGCUGGGGAGCAGCUGACCCAGCCCCUACCCCUCUGGCCAGUCCACAGUAGACACAAAAUAUGAUUGCUUGGCCUCAAUUAUCAAUAGAAUUUAAGAGAAAAAUCAAAGUUACACAUCCCUCUCCACAUCAGUUUCUUGGAAUCUGCUACUCAUGACUGCCCCUCCUCUCCCCACGCGCCCCUACCAAAGUCACAGGAGUCAUCCUCAAAUGUCAGGGUCCUGGGGUGAAUGUACUCCACGCCUCUCUGAGUUUGUCUCUGCUCACUCUUCAUCUUCCCACUGUUUUCUUUUCUGCACUAGAGAUGAUCCCUGCCCUCAGCUCCCUUCAUGGAGGCAGUUCAGAUACUUGGCCCUACCUGUGAUGAGCACACACACAGAAUUCUCAACUGACAGUGGCAUCCUCAGAAGAGUCGGUGCCCACUAUUUUGUUUUAUUUUGCUGAAAGAAGUUGCUCUCACUACACAUCAUAAACCCAUAGAUGUAAAUACUUUCCCUCUCAACAUACAAAUUUUACCUUUCUCUUUCCCCCCCACAGGGGUGAUUGUGGUGGGGAAGGAAAGAGAGGGCUUAGACUUCAGGUCAAAUGUUACAUUUUCUUAGGAACAUUUUUAUACUCAUUAUGUAUUUUAAUAGGGCAAUAAAUCUGCUUUGGGUUGCAGGAUCACUCAGUGUUCUGUUGGAAAGCAUUGACCAAUGAUUUGUUUUUAAUACAAAUGCUGUGCGAUGAGUUAUAGAAACCUAGGACAAUGGUUGAGGGAGUCGACUCCUACAUCAGCAGUGAAGCGCUGAGCGGCGUUGUAUUCACAAAGUCACAUCUUCUGUUUCUGUGUUAGUCUCGAUUUGUUGUGGUACGUUCUGCAUUUAUUACAUAAUCAUUGUGGGCUCAUUUUAGAUUUGCCGUCUGAACCAAGUGACAAGUAUUUUUCAAUACAAUAAAGUUGAAAACCUUGUCUUCCA